This 333-nucleotide ribosomal RNA is filed under the name uncultured bacterium. RNAcentral describes it as "bacterial SSU rRNA". It matches the Rfam family "Bacterial small subunit ribosomal RNA", at positions 568 to 898 of the family's 1533-position model. The record is from RNAcentral.
CGCGUAGGCGGUCGGACCGAGUCGAGUGUGAAAGCCCCGGGCUCAACCUGGGAGGUGCGCUCGAGACUGGCCCGCUGGGAGUUCGGGAGAGGAGAGCGGAAUUCCCAGUGUAGAGGUGAAAUUCGUAGAUAUUGGGAAGAACACCGGUGGCGAAGGCGGCUCUCUGGACCGAGACUGACGCUGAGGCGCGAAAGCGUGGGGAGCAAACAGGAUUAGAUACCCUGGUAGUCCACGCUGUAAACGAUGUGUGCUAGACGUUGGGGAGCGUAGCUCUUCGGUGUCGCCGCAAACGCUUUAAGCACACCGCCUGGGGAGUACGGCCGCAAGGUUAAA